UCGGACGGUAGCACAGAGGAGCUUGCUCCUCGGGUGACGAGUGGCGGACGGGUGAGUAAUGUCUGGGAAACUGCCCGAUGGAGGGGGAUAACUACUGGAAACGGUAGCUAAUACCGCAUAACGUCGCAAGACCAAAGUGGGGGACCUUCGGGCCUCACACCAUCGGAUGUGCCCAGAUGGGAUUAGCUUGUAGGCGGGGUAACGGCCCACCUAGGCGACGAUCCCUAGCUGGUCUGAGAGGAUGACCAGCCACACUGGAACUGAGACACGGUCCAGACUCCUACGGGAGGCAGCAGUGGGGAAUAUUGCACAAUGGGCGCAAGCCUGAUGCAGCCAUGCCGCGUGUAUGAAGAAGGCCUUCGGGUUGUAAAGUACUUUCAGCGGGGAGGAAGGUGUUGAGGUUAAUAACCUCAGCAAUUGACGUUACCCGCAGAAGAAGCACCGGCUAACUCCGUGCCAGCAGCCGCGGUAAUACGGAGGGUGCAAGCGUUAAUCGGAAUUACUGGGCGUANAGCGCACGCAGGCGGUCUGUUAAGUCAGAUGUGAAAUCCCCGGGCUUAACCUGGGAACUGCAUUUGAAACUGGCAGGCUUGAGUCUCGUAGAGGGGGGUAGAAUUCC
RNAcentral lists this ribosomal RNA (619 nucleotides) under Pantoea stewartii. RNAcentral's name for it is "bacterial SSU rRNA". It matches the Rfam family "Bacterial small subunit ribosomal RNA", at positions 62 to 670 of the family's 1533-position model. The record is from RNAcentral. Lineage: Bacteria; Pseudomonadati; Pseudomonadota; Gammaproteobacteria; Enterobacterales; Erwiniaceae.